Molecule: signal recognition particle RNA, 264 nt
Filed under: Candidatus Pacearchaeota archaeon
Lineage: Archaea; Nanobdellati
Description: signal recognition particle sRNA
Rfam family: Archaeal signal recognition particle RNA
Source: RNAcentral
GGGUAGGUUAGGCUGGCACGCUAGCCCUGUGCCGUUUGUAAAUGGGCUUUAUGACAAGCUGCAAGAGGAGGCGUUAUAUGCUUGUUGGGGAGUCCUGACUUGGACGUUGAGGUCUUGUCCUGCUUGAUCUUGCCCUAGCAAACCGGGUCAGUUCCGGAAGGAGGCAGCCCUAAGUUAGAGUUAAGAUGCUUGUAGGGUUGCAAGGCUGAGGAAGAGUUAGGGUAGCUUUCUAGUAAGUAUAGAAGCAAAUCCUCGAACCUGCCC